Molecule: ribosomal RNA, 253 nt
Filed under: uncultured bacterium
Lineage: Bacteria
Description: partial 16S ribosomal RNA
Rfam family: Bacterial small subunit ribosomal RNA
Source: RNAcentral
UACGUAGGGUGCAAGCGUUGUCCGGAAUUAUUGGGCGUAAAGAGCUCGUAGGCGGUUUGUCGCGUCGAAUGUGAAAACCCGGGGCUCAACCCCGGGCCUGCAUUCGAUACGGGCAGACUAGAGUUCGGUAGGGGAGUCUGGAAUUCCUGGUGUAGCGGUGGAAUGCGCAGAUAUCAGGAGGAACACCGGUGGCGAAGGCGGGUCUCUGGGCAGUAACUGACGCUGAGGAGCGAAAGCGUGGGGAGCAAACAGG